RNAcentral lists this ribosomal RNA (450 nucleotides) under Triticum aestivum (bread wheat). RNAcentral describes it as "partial small subunit ribosomal RNA". The record is from RNAcentral. Lineage: Eukaryota; Viridiplantae; Streptophyta; Magnoliopsida; Poales; Poaceae.
AUGAAACUAAUAGCAUGGAACUGUCGAGGCAAAGGCAAGGGCCUAGGCAGUGAAAAGAUGACUUAUCUUGCCAAUCUCAUGCGUUCUACUAGUGCUCAGGUAACCUUCGUUUCUGAAAUUAAAUCUUCCAGAACUAACAGAGCUGACCUUCUUAAUCGUUUUGAAAUUGUAGAUAGCGUAGUCGUCCCAUCAAAAGGCAAGUCAGGAGGUCUUUGGCUGAUGUGGACGGAUGAAGUUCAAGUCAAUGUGCAUUUUGCGGACUUCCACGUGAUCCUUGCCUCUGUAGUUAAUCCAGUCUCUAGUGUUUCUUUUGCUCUUGUUUGUAUAUAUGGUGACCCGUACCAUCGUAACACGAGCGAUAUCUGGGAUCGUAUUGCCUCUUUUGUGUACGAUAACCAAGGCAGCCCUAUCUUAUGUAUGGGAGAUCUUAAUGAUAUACUUUAUGAUGCU